GCAUAUCAAGAAGCGGAGGAAAAGAAACUAACAAGGAUUCCCCUAGUAACGGCGAGUGAAGCGGGAAGAGCUCAAAUUUGAAAGCUGGCGUCUUCGACGUCCGCAUUGUAAUCUCGAGAAGUGUUUUCCGUGUUGGACCAUGUACAAGUUCCUUGGAACAGGACGUCAUAGAGGGUGAGAAUCCCGUACUUGACAUGGAUGCCCAAUGCUUUGUGAUACGCUCUCCACGAGUCGAGUUGUUUGGGAAUGCAGCUCAAAAUGGGUGGUAAAUUCCAUCUAAAGCUAAAUAUUGGGGAGAGACCGAUAGCGAACAAGUACCGUGAGGGAAAGAUGAAAAGCACUUUGGAAAGAGAGUUAAACAGUACGUGAAAUUGUCGAAAGGGAAGCGCUUGAAGUCAGACAUGCUGCUGAGACUCAGCCUUGGUUUUCCUUGGUGUAUUUCUCAGUUGGCAGGCCAGCAUCAGUUUUGGCUGUUGGAUAAGGGUAGGAGGAAUGUGGCAUCCUCGGAUGUGUUAUAGCCUCUUACUGGAUACAACGGCUGGGACUGAGGAACGCAGUGUGCCUUCGGGCGGGUCUUCGGACACCUUCACACUUAGGAUGCUGGCGUAAUGGCUUUAAGCGACCCGUCUUGAAACACGGACCAAGGAGUCUAACAUGUUUGCGAGUCUUUGGGUGGUAAACCCGCAGGCGCAAUGAAAGUGAAUGCAGGUGGGAUCCGUAAGGAGCACCAUCGACCGAACCUGAUCUCUUGUGACGGUUUUGAGUAAGAGCACAUAUGUUGGGACCCGAAAGAUGGUGAACUAUGCCUGAGUAGGGCGAAGCCAGAGGAAACUCUGGUGGAGGCUCGUAGCGGUUCUGACGUGCAAAUCGAUCGUCAAACUUGGGUAUAGGGGGCGAAAGACUAAUCGAACCAUCUAAAUAGCUCGUUCUGCGAG
Molecule: ribosomal RNA, 935 nt
Filed under: Golubevia pallescens
Lineage: Eukaryota; Fungi; Basidiomycota; Exobasidiomycetes; Golubeviales; Golubeviaceae
Description: LSU rRNA
Rfam family: Eukaryotic large subunit ribosomal RNA
Source: RNAcentral